UACGGAGGGUGCAAGCGUUAUCCGGAUUCACUGGGUUUAAAGGGUGCGUAGGUGGGCUAGUAAGUCAGUGGUGAAAUCUCCGGGCUUAACCCGGAAACUGCCAUUGAUACUAUUAGUCUUGAAUGUCGUGGAGGUAAGCGGAAUAUGUCAUGUAGCGGUGAAAUGCUUAGAUAUGACAUAGAACACCAAUUGCGAAGGCAGCUGGCUACACAAAUAUUGACACUGAGGCACGAAAGCGUGGGGAUCAAACAGG
RNAcentral lists this ribosomal RNA (253 nucleotides) under uncultured bacterium. RNAcentral's name for it is "partial 16S ribosomal RNA". It matches the Rfam family "Bacterial small subunit ribosomal RNA", at positions 524 to 776 of the family's 1533-position model. The record is from RNAcentral.